CCGCGGCUCUGCGGUGGUGUGUGUCUCUCUCAGGCAUGGGAGUCUCAGGAGAAUUUGGAAACUGGCAUCUGCGGAGCAGCCCCCAGAGGCCCACUGACUCCCCUCUUCCCCAAGGCCAGCCCAGGCCCAGAGAAACCCCUGAAAGUUUGGGGGAGCCCUCCCCAGCACCUGCUUCUCCUGACAUUCUACCUCUCCCUGCCAUACUUGUCCUUCCCUAAUGGACUUGGAACGCCACAAAAUCCAGAGCCUGGGUCAUUUGUAACCAGAAGCCGGCUCCUCCUACCCCAAGGGCAAAGAGGGCUAAGGCGAGAAACCCUCCCAAGGUGAAGGAAAUUUUGUCAAAGAAGAAAAAGGACAAAAACCAACAUCACCAAGAAAGCCCGGGGCAGUGGUAUCCUCACAAACACAGACACACCUGCAGACUUCUCUCACCAAAUCGAGAUUACAAAGCACAGCUUCCACUGCUUCUUAGCUUUUCACUCUGUGUUAUGCCAGGAGCAUUUUCUCAUGUCAUUUGAAAAUGGGAUUUCUGAGGGUAGCUCCCAAGGGUGACUUAGUAAAUGAACUGAAGCCAGGGGAUGAAGUGGGUUAGAGACCAGUCGUGGAUGGCACAGAGACUGGCAUCUGUAACCUGUCUCUUUCAUUUCUACCCCUUCCUCAGCCCAUCCCUAGCCUUCCCUCACUCAAGAGGCUACCGUGGCUCCCCAUUUUUAUCACAUCAAGUCUAAACUCCAGCUUUCAAACCACUCAUAACCUGGCAGGCUCUUCUCCUCUCUGUCAGUGAAUGCCCCCGACCCUCACCACGGUACCCAUUCCUCUCUUCUGUCUCUUGAGGUGCCCCCACCCCACAUAGUGCUCAAUCCUGUGUCCUUGCCCUGCUGAGCAAUUCCCUCCCUCCCUCCUCCUCUCCCCAGUCCCCCUCAUCCCUGUCAUCCAUCCCCUACUCCUUGCAAGUGGCCUCUGUAGUCCUCUCUAGGGCCCUCUCUCAUCUCCCUCUCUGCGGCGGGUCCUGGCACCUCCGUGGCAGGCGGGAUUUGUUGCCAUCCCAGGGGGAAUACUGGGCUUCUCAGUGGGCAGGGCUUGAGGCUUCAUCCCUCCUCUUCUGGAGCCCGCUGCAUGGUGCAGCAGGGCUGGGAGGGCUGGGCCAGUGAACCUGUACUUCUCAGGAGGAAGGGCUUUGCCCA
This 1184-nucleotide long non-coding RNA is filed under the name Homo sapiens (human). Its description in RNAcentral is "HSALNT0038962". The record is from RNAcentral. Lineage: Eukaryota; Metazoa; Chordata; Mammalia; Primates; Hominidae.